GCCGCUGUGGUGGAAUAGGCAGACACAAGGGACUUAAAAUCCCUCGGAGUAAAAUCCGUACCGGUUCGACCCCGGUCAGCGGCA
This 84-nucleotide transfer RNA is filed under the name Ruminococcus sp. YE71. It matches the Rfam family "tRNA". From Rfam's summary of the family: Transfer RNA (tRNA) molecules are approximately 80 nucleotides in length. Their secondary structure includes four short double-helical elements and three loops (D, anti-codon, and T loops). RNAcentral also lists the same sequence under 2 other names. Lineage: Bacteria; Bacillati; Bacillota; Clostridia; Eubacteriales; Oscillospiraceae. The record is from Rfam by way of RNAcentral.